CUGAUGCUCUCACAUUGCUCACUGCAUUACAGCAAGCAGUUGAAGGACUAUCUUGACUGCUCGUCAGAAAAGGUAAGCAUGUCAACAAUGAAAGUUUUGCUUCCACACAGCUGAAUCCAUUCGCAGGCUUCAUGGCUGCAACCAGAAAUAACACAAUCAAAGUUGAUACUCUCUUCAUUUUCACUCUCUUUUUCUUUCACUCUUG
RNAcentral lists this long non-coding RNA (205 nucleotides) under Vigna radiata. RNAcentral's name for it is "long non-coding RNA (VRAD_LNC011951)". Lineage: Eukaryota; Viridiplantae; Streptophyta; Magnoliopsida; Fabales; Fabaceae. The record is from RNAcentral.